RNAcentral lists this ribosomal RNA (301 nucleotides) under uncultured bacterium. RNAcentral's name for it is "partial 16S ribosomal RNA". It matches the Rfam family "Bacterial small subunit ribosomal RNA", at positions 509 to 807 of the family's 1533-position model. The record is from RNAcentral.
CAGUCGCCACGGUAACACGUAGGUGGCAAGCGUUGUCCGGAAUUAUUGGGCGUAAAGGGCUCGCAGGCGGUUUCUUAAGUCUGAUGUGAAAGCCCCCGGCUCAACCGGGGAGGGUCAUUGGAAACUGGGAAACUUGAGUGCAGAAGAGGAGAGUGGAAUUCCACGUGUAGCGGUGAAAUGCGUAGAGAUGUGGAGGAACACCAGUGGCGAAGGCGACUCUCUGGUCUGUAACUGACGCUGAGGAGCGAAAGCGUGGGGAGCGAACAGGAUUAGAUACCCCGGUAGUCCCUGUCUCUUAUAC